This 738-nucleotide ribosomal RNA is filed under the name uncultured Gammaproteobacteria bacterium. Its description in RNAcentral is "bacterial SSU rRNA". It matches the Rfam family "Bacterial small subunit ribosomal RNA", at positions 38 to 767 of the family's 1533-position model. Lineage: Bacteria; Pseudomonadati; Pseudomonadota; Gammaproteobacteria. The record is from RNAcentral.
AAAGGCAUGCCUAACACAUGCAAGUCGAACGGUAACGCGAGGAGCUUGCUCCUUGGCGACGAGUGGCGGACGGGUGAGUAAUACUUAGGAAUCUGCCCAGUAGUGGGGGACAACUCGAGGAAACUCGAGCUAAUACCGCAUACGCCCUACGGGGGAAAGCGGGGGAUCUUCGGACCUCGCGCUAUUGGAUGAGCCUAAGCCGGAUUAGCUUUUUGGGGGGGUAAAGGCCUACCAAGGCGACGAUCCGUAGCUGGUCUGAGAGGACGAUCAGCCACACUGGGACUGAGACACGGCCCAGACUCCUACGGGAGGCAGCAGUGGGGAAUAUUGGACAAUGGGGGCAACCCUGAUCCAGCAAUGCCGCGUGUGUGAAGAAGGCCUGCGGGUUUUAAAGCACUUUCAGUAGAGAAGAAAAGCUUACGGUUAAUAACUGUGAGUCUUGACGUAACCUACAGAAGAAGCACCGGCUAACUCCGUGCCAGCAGCCGCGGUAAUACGGAGGGGGCAAGCGUUAAUCGGAAUUACUGGGCGUAAAGCGCGCGUAGGCGGUUUAGUAAGUCGGAUGUGAAAGCCCUGGGCUCAACCUGGGAAUUGCAUUCGAUACUGCUUGACUAGAGUAUGGUAGAGGGAAGUGGAAUUUCCGGGGUAGCGGGGAAAUGCGUAGAUAUCGGAAGGAACACCAGUGGCGAAGGCGACUUCCUGGGCCAAUACUGACGCUGAGGGGCGAAAGCGUGGGGG